AUUGUACUCCCUCCGUCCGAAAAUACUUGUCAUCAAAAUGGAUAAAAAAAGAUGUAUCUAGAACUAAAAUACAUCUAGAUACGUUCCUUUUUAUCCAUUUUGAUGACAAGUAUUUUCGGACGGAGGGAGUACAUA
Molecule: non-coding RNA, 135 nt
Organism: Triticum aestivum (bread wheat)
Lineage: Eukaryota; Viridiplantae; Streptophyta; Magnoliopsida; Poales; Poaceae
Source: Rfam